AACGAACGCUGGCGGCAUGCCUAACACAUGCAAGUCGAACGAGACCUUCGGGUCUAGUGGCGCACGGGUGCGUAACGCGUGGGAACCUGCCCUUAGGUUCGGAAUAACUCCCCGAAAGGGGUGCUAAUACCGGGUAAUGUCUUCGGACCAAAGAUUUAUCGCCUUUGGAUGGGCCCGCGUUGGAUUAGCUAGUUGGUAGGGUAAAAGCCUACCAAGGCGACGAUCCAUAGCUGGUCUGAGAGGAUGAUCAGCCACACUGGGACUGAGACACAGCCCAGACUCCUACGGGAGGCAGCAGUGGGGAAUAUUGGACAAUGGGCGAAAGCCUGAUCCAGCAAUACCGCGUGAGUGAUGAAGGCCUUAGGGUUGUAAAGCUCUUUUACCCGGGAUGAUAAUGACAGUACCGGGAGAAUAAGCUCCGGCUAACUCCGUG
This 433-nucleotide ribosomal RNA is filed under the name uncultured bacterium. Its description in RNAcentral is "partial 16S ribosomal RNA". It matches the Rfam family "Bacterial small subunit ribosomal RNA", at positions 29 to 507 of the family's 1533-position model. The record is from RNAcentral.